Molecule: ribosomal RNA, 465 nt
Filed under: uncultured bacterium
Lineage: Bacteria
Description: partial 16S ribosomal RNA
Rfam family: Bacterial small subunit ribosomal RNA
Source: RNAcentral
CCUACGGGAGGCAGCAGUAGGGAAUCUUCGGCAAUGGACGAAAGUCUGACCGAGCAACGCCGCGUGAGUGAAGACGGUUUUCGGAUCGUAAAACUUUGUUGGUAGAGAAGAACGUUGGUGAGAGUGGCAAGCUCAUCAUGUGACGGUAAAUACCCAGACAGGGACGGCUAACUACGUGCCAGCGUCAGCGGUAAUACGUAGGUCUCGAGCGUUGUUCGGAUUUUUUGGGUGAAAAGCGGGCGCAGGUGGUUUAUGAAGUCAGGUGGAAAAGGCGGGGGCUCAACCCUUGUAUGCAUUGGAAACUGGGGGGCUUGAGUGCAGGAGAGGUGAGUGGAAUUCCAGGUGUAGCGGUGAAAUGCGUAGAUAGAUGGAGGAACACCGAUGGCGAAGGCGGCUCUCUGGCCUGUAACUGACACUGAGGCUCGAAAGCGUGGGGAGCAAACAGGAUUAGAUACCCCAGUAGUC